Molecule: long non-coding RNA, 753 nt
Organism: Pteronotus mesoamericanus
Lineage: Eukaryota; Metazoa; Chordata; Mammalia; Chiroptera; Mormoopidae
Exons: 3
Source: RefSeq, a predicted model, not a curated record
GGAACACAGCAUCCCAGGAUGCAUCCGAGAUCAAACACAGGGCACAACCAGGACCAGAGGCCACGUCUCUUAAGUCAGCGUUCUUUCUGCAGAUUCCAUUACGUCCUGAAACAACCCUGCUCUGCCUUGCAAAAGCAGCACUGCAAGAUGACAGCUCUGCAGGCCAGCAAAAGCCACACCCCACCAGGAUGUAAUGGCAUUACCUGUGGCCCAAGCCUUGAAGAUCUCUCAGUCUGCCAGGAGUCUGAUACCCCCAGAAAUUUAAGGCAGAGGCAUCGCUGGCAUCUUUGCUACCAAAUCAGAUCAUUCUUCCCCAGAACGAACUUCAAUGUCAUCUUUUAGCAUACAGGAUCCAUUCUUUUACCAGUUCCUUCUAAAAGCUCUUGCAAGAGGAGCUCACAAAAGCUGGCAUCCUGACCCCCAAAUGGAUCUCUGUCCUUGCUAGCAGCCCCUGGUACACAGUAAGAAGAAAAUCCUAUCUCACUUCCGCGAAGGUGAAAGACCUCAGACCAUGAAUCCUCUCGGCACUACGCAGGCAUCUUCAAUGCAACGUCACUUCUGGAAACUGGAAAGCAGGCUGGAAUGGUGUGACCAUCCAAGAGCAAGGCUGCCCCCCCCGCCCCCGAGAGAGAAUAAAGGAAGCCUCCGCCACAGUUCCCCGGGCAGCAGUCAGGCUUUGGAAAAGCACAAGUAACCCAACGAAGUCGUCUGAUGUUGCUGAAAGAUUGCUGUCACCCUUGUAGAUGCUCAUCA